Bombus huntii is the source of this 1311-nucleotide long non-coding RNA. RefSeq lists it as uncharacterized. NCBI's taxonomy places the organism in Eukaryota, Metazoa, Arthropoda, Insecta, Hymenoptera, Apidae. The transcript has 2 exons. The record is from RefSeq and is a predicted model, not a curated record.
CGUCGUUUCUAAACGACGUGAGCACCAGUUAAUAUACGUCACGACGUCAUCUUCAUCGGUCACGAUGUUUGUGUCGGAGUUUAGGGGUUAAAAGAAAUCACUUACGAUCGCCACACUUUUAUGACGCAAACUACCAACCGUUUUUUGCAAGACUCGUGGUCUAGUCGUGCUAUAAUCUAAUCUACUGUUUUGGUACAUUUUUUUAUAUUAACUUUUCAACUGUUAUGGACGUUAUUAUGAGUGACGGUGUAUUGGAGCUUUAUAAAUUUGUUUUCACCGAGGUAAAUACCUCUUCGUGUGAAUGCGCAAUAUGAAGCAUCGAACAAAUUCUAAAAGCACCCGCUGCGCCAUUGGUUAUAUUAAUUGGUAUUACAUACACAUGAGAGUCAGCAAAUGAUAUAAAAGCCAGAAGGUCGAUAAAAAUGAGCUCAUCGUAUCUUCCCUGUAUGGAUUUCAAUAUCGAACUAUUUCUUUGUAAUUUCGUAAAACUAUGAGCUACAAAGGUGGUCGAAUGUCGAAAAGAGAUAACGUGGUUUGGACCUACAGAUAACAAGAAACUGCGUUUGACGAUGACGCGCCUCUUUCCACUAGUUUCGUCAGCCACCGUGAUCCACUCUCUAUCAAGAGCAAUUCGUUCGUGUCUCAGUUGUCUAUUUUACACGUUCUUUUAUAGCUCUAUCAGAUUGUUUACACAUGUAAUAAAAACUUUUAGCUUUGACAUAUCGAUCGCUGGAAGUAGUUUUCUUGGAAACGCUCUGAAAAAAGUGACUUGCACUUUUCCUUACCGCUCUCUUUGCUAAUCCAGAUAAAAAGCACGCAUACUGGCAAUGUUCUAUUUAUCUAUGCACGCCAACUAGCAAACCAUAACAGCCACUUCAUAAAUUUUCCGACUAUCAUUGCUCAACCAUUACGAGGAAUUAACGUAGUCUCGAUCGCGGUUCGAAACGCGUUGCCUCUAUAUUUCAAUGGCUUCGAAAACGUUUUCGGAUCAGUGAAAGCGUGGAAUAAAUUCGCCGCUUACGUAAUCAGUUACGCGUUCCACAAUGGAACGUCAUCUAUUUUUUUGCGACUCUUCGCAAAUCCGAUGCGAGGUUGUUCCAAUCCAUCUUCUGCAGAUUUGUUAAUUUUUAUCAACAUACGUAGGUAUUUAAUUUAAUUUGUAUUUAGUUUCUCGGUUAAUCCUAACAGAGAAUCUAUCGCUUUACAAUGGAAUUCGAGGAGUUAAAAAUUCACAGGUAGCAGAAACGGACUAUUAUUAUAUGAACUAAUUGUCACGCGACUCUCGUUCAAAUAAAUAGAUUUCUUAUCUUA